UUCUGGUGAUGUUGGGUGAGAGGUUAUUGACCCCAGGAACAAUUAGUCAUGGAUCCCGUGCCAAGCACAUCCACAGGCAUUACCCUCCAUUGGUUCCACCAGGCAGGGGGCACCGCCAACUCCAUGGCAUUACUCCUCAGCAGACAAAGAUUCUGAAAGUGAUGAUCUUCUAGUGUCAAGGAGGCUGUUGGAAGAACAGCCAAGGUGGCAUCAGGAAGAUGACUUUGUCUAGUCAGUAAUGGACACCUCCCUUGAUGAAGGCAAGCCACUCAGUAGAUGCGCAGCUUGCAUCACCACUUCAUCACAAAACACCCCUGGUUACUCAAGGAAAAGGAGGGAAAACAUUUCGAGGAGGCAUGGCUUUAUCCAACAUCCUCAGAUAAGCCUGGACGAGGACUUGCCCCAGCACAAUUUCAUUACAGCAUUUUUCACUGACAACAUCCUUAACGAAAUAAUCUGGCAGACCAACCAAUAUGCCAUCGCCCACCCACACCAGGAUGGUGCCCAUAAGAGGAAAUGGGUACCUGUAACUGCAGGUAAGCAUUCAUUUAUUCAUUAAAGUUUGAUUGUUUUUAGCAGGUAUAAUGUAAAAUAACAAGUUUUUGCAGCCUCAACAAUCCCUAUAAAUACAUGCAUUAAUCUUUUAGGUGUUCUUGGGUCUGUACUACUUGAUGAGCGUGUUUGUCCCAAGCCUCAGUAAACAAUGUACUAGUCUGUGAGAGUUCAUCUACACCCUAUUCUACAAGAAGACAAUGCCGAGAGAUCGGUAUGACCAGAUCUCAUAGGUAUUGCAUUUUGUAGAUAAUUUACCAGACCGGAACAAAGAAGACCACUUGUGGAAGCUUUGUCCUGUCACAAAUCAUCUACAGGAGAGAUUUGUCAUAGUCUUCAUCUCACUGCAGAAGAUUACCAUAGAGAGCUUAUGGAAAUUUAGAGGCUGACUCAGAUUUGUCCAGUAUAACCCAACCAAAAAGGCAAGGUAUGGCCUCAAGGUCUAUAAGCUCUGCGUUUCUGUCAGAGCUUCUGCACCAGUGUGUUAUCUGACUUUACCCAAUGGCCAAAUAGCAAUGUAGAGAAAGGGCUCCUGGUGACAGCCACUUUGAAUAUCUAUUGUAGCACUCAUAGCAUAGCUUGUUUUGUAAUAGUACAAUGUAUUCACUUUUCUUUUUCUUAAGAGUAAUUUCUUGAGAGUGACAAAGUAUUUUCUUUGAAAGAUAAAUCUUUUAAAUAGUUCUAGUAAAAUAGUUAGGAUUUAAGAUCCUAAUAUUUCAAGUUUAAUAGAGAAGAUCCAAUCUUUACUUUUUCUUGAAAAGAGAAACGGUGGAAGGGUAAAAAAAACAAAAAAAAAUUGUUUUCAAUUUAUAUUGUUUCAAAACACUGUAACUAUGGGAAGUCACAGAUAUAUAAGUAUUAUCACAAAUAACUUGUUCAACUAAUUUUAACUUUAACUUUUUUUUAAGCUAAAACUAGGGUAUUUCAUUCUUGCCUAAAGUACACUGGGAUGUCUUAUUUCAUACGAUAGUGUCAUUAAUAAAAUCUAAUUGCCAGCAUUUAUAUGGUGGAAUAGCAUUAAGUAUUGACUGUGAUCCAAUAUAAUAUCAGUAUAUCUAAUGAUAAGUUAUAGUACACACUUAGGUUCUUUUUUUUUUUCCUCUUUUUUUUUUUUUUUCCUUUUUUAUUCACUCAACAAUAAUGCACAAGUAAAGCUAUAUACUGGAAGCAGAUUUUAAAAAAUAAAUCUACUUUCACUUUACAAAUCAGUACAGAUUAUGUUCCUCCUCCAGUAAUUGCACAUCUGUCUCUCAUACCCAAAAACGACUAUUACUCAUUACACUGCUUAACAGACAAUUAAAAAAAUAAAAAUAAAAUCAUGAAAAUUAACAAACAUACAAAUCCCUUCCUCUCAAAGAUAGCAUUCUCUAUGAGACC
Molecule: long non-coding RNA, 1929 nt
Organism: Penaeus monodon (black tiger shrimp)
Lineage: Eukaryota; Metazoa; Arthropoda; Malacostraca; Decapoda; Penaeidae
Exons: 2
Source: RefSeq, a predicted model, not a curated record